This 72-nucleotide transfer RNA is filed under the name Zoogloea ramigera. It matches the Rfam family "tRNA". Rfam says of the family: Transfer RNA (tRNA) molecules are approximately 80 nucleotides in length. Their secondary structure includes four short double-helical elements and three loops (D, anti-codon, and T loops). Lineage: Bacteria; Pseudomonadati; Pseudomonadota; Betaproteobacteria; Rhodocyclales; Zoogloeaceae. RNAcentral also lists the same sequence under 3 other names. The record is from Rfam by way of RNAcentral.
CUCUCCGUAGUUCAAUGGAUAGAACGGGCGCCUCCUAAGCGCCAGAUACAGGUUCGAUUCCUGUCGGGGGGA